GAUCAAGCGUUGAAGGGCUUCUGACGGAUGCCUUGGCGUAGAGAGGCGAUGAAGGACGUGGCAAGCUGCGAUAAGAACCGGGGAGGCGCUAGCACCCUUUGAUCCGGUUAUUUCCGAAUGGGGAAACCCACCUUUGUGGUCUGCCAACUCAUGCCCAGUCUUCGGACUGGGUGCGGGUUGGUAGAUUGCUUAAAGGUAUAAUGACCUGAAUACAUAGGGUUCAUUAAGCGAACCCGGGGAACUGAAACAUCUCAGUACCCGGAGGAAAGGACAUCAACCGAGACUCCCGUAGUAGUGGCGAGCGAACCGGGACCAGGCCAGUGCUCUUGUGAAAUAAAGUCGAACGACCUGGAAAGGUCGGCCAUAGCGGGUGACAGCCCCGUAGACGUCAAACAGCAAGAGACUCGAGUAGGGCGGGACACGUGAAAUCCUGUCUGAACAUGGGGGGACCACCCUCCAAGCCUAAGUACUCCUCUACGACCGAUAGUGAACAAGUACCGUGAGGGAAAGGUGAAAAGCACCCCGACAAGGGGAGUGAAACAGAUCCUGAAAUCGGAAGCCUACAAGCAGUCGGAGCCCCCAUGCGGGGUGACGGCGUACCUUUUGUAUAAUGGGUCAGCGACUUCAUGUGUCGAGCAAGCUUAAGCCGUUAGGUGUAGGCGCAGCGAAAGCGAGUCUGAAUAGGGCGCUAAGUUCGACGUAUGACGACCCGAAAC
This 716-nucleotide ribosomal RNA is filed under the name Halothiobacillus sp. RNAcentral's name for it is "partial 23S ribosomal RNA". It matches the Rfam family "Bacterial large subunit ribosomal RNA", at positions 1 to 721 of the family's 2925-position model. The record is from RNAcentral. Lineage: Bacteria; Pseudomonadati; Pseudomonadota; Gammaproteobacteria; Chromatiales; Halothiobacillaceae.